CAAAGAUUCACUAGCCAUUUAACAACCACUAAAAAAAAUCACUAGCCAUUUAACAACCAUAUUAACUGUAGUUUUGGCAGUGGUGUCAAUACAUUCUCAUGUUUUUAUCAUAUAUUAAAUCCUUGAUAGCUAGCUCCUUUGAUAGUUCUGGCAUAGGGUAUUAUGUGAUAGAGAGGGGUAAGAACACCUAGAGCAAGAGGGAUGAGUGGAAUUGCUGCUUUGGGCAGAUACCUCUCACUGUAUGUUCUAGCAUUAUUACCAAAGACUUUACUUGGGGUUUUUAUUGCAGACAAUCCAGUAACCAAACAGUUCAGUAACACUACUUCUACUUAUCAUUCUUUUCAAUCAUCCUAUUCCAUAUCCCUCUGAGCUCUUACAAUGCCCUGGCUCAAGUCAGGGAAAGCCCCCUGUCUAAGCUCUCACAGCUGAGGCUGCUAAUUACAGCUGAUUCUCAAUACAAAGCAGGUGGGAAGCUACGGGAACCUUGGUGUCAUGUCUUUCUAUGCAGUGGCUGAUUUCUGGUGUUAGGUGUUCUAGCGACACAGAUAUUUAUUGGAUUUUACAGAGCUCUUACUCUUUGGGUGUGUUUUUCUGACACAAACAUAUCCUUGUGUAGAAACUUCUUUCAAGCACCUCGAAGAAACUAUGUUCACUUCUGACUGUGAUGCCAAGAGCUUCUAAUGCCAACAGAAAAUUAAGAAAAGAUAUUUCUGCUCAGAGUAUGCAAAGGAUGAUAGGGUCAGGACCCAGCUGCCUGUGCUUGUGAAGCAGAGUGGGAAAGGAGGAGCUGAUGCACACUUCAUGUUUUAUGCUGACUUGUAAUGCAGAUCUCCAGAAGCCUGAUGCAUGUCAUUUCACUUACUGUUUCACAACAUCUUUUCAAUUUUCUGUUCAUGUGACGCUCCCAGUGCACUCUCUGCUUCAUGCUGCUGGUAGUGUGACACUGAAUUUUGCCACCCUGAAUUUAGGUUGCAAAAUUAAAUUUUGUCUAUGUUAAUAUGACUCAGUUCCAGGUGCAGCAGAACACACCUCAACUCAUCUUUGACAUUGUUAUUCCUCAGUGCCUGUGAAGCUGAUGUUCUCAUUUAAAAGCCACUGUAGAGAAGGCUCCCCAGUGAGCUAACAUUCAGGUCACAGGCAAAGAAUUACCAGUUGUCAUGGUUUCAAAUGAAGCCAACUAUACAGCAGUCUUAUAUCUUUGUAUAUUCUCAUCAAGAUACUUUAUAAGCAAAGCAAUCAAUGUAAAAAUUAUAUAGAAUCUAAGAAUAUUUUUCCUUCAUGAUCAUAUAGUUGUGGAGUUUUAAAUUGUUUUAAUGUUCUGUAAAUAAUAAUCUGUCAUGGUUGACAUUCAAGAUGGAAAUAUGUUGAGAUGAUCUAAACUAGAUUAUUAGCUAAAUGUUACUGUGAGCAUUUUUAUACUUUGACACUGAAAUUAUAAUUUUGGGCUGUACCAAUAAGUCUGUUCAGAUGACUGAGCCAAUUCAUUUCCUUCAGAGUGUCUUCAGACUUAAAAAUAGAAUAGCUUUUCUACUGAUAUAUUCUGAUCAGAAAAGAUUAUUUUACAGCUGUAAAGAAAAACUUCUUAAAAUUCAGGUUGGAAAAAUGUUCUGGAGAGAAUACUAGGAGAAAUUUAACAGCUGUAGAUUUGCAGAAUAUUUAGCAGUAAGACAAUGAAAAUUUAGUCUUCCUGUUGUAUUUUUUUUAACAAUUCUGUAUAGGUAAGGUAAGCAGCUCCUAACUGUGUUUUGUGGCCUGCGCGCGCGCACACACACACACAGUAAUGAUAAGUAAUGAUAAAUGUGAAAUGCUAGCAGGCAAACUGUUUGCAAUGCAUGCACUGAAGACAGGCCUAGGACUGGAGUCAAACAUUGCACAUCAGUCUGCAAGAUUAAAAUGUUUGUAGUGUAGCAGUGUACAGUUUUUAUUGGAGUCUAUCCAGAUAUUUGUAUGCAGAGAAUUAUUGCUCAAUGACAAAUUGUGAUGAUACAAUCUAGCAUGUUGGGAAAUUUCCACUCUAGUAUGGUCAUGUGCCAAGGAUAAUACCUUUUGGGAAUAAUAUGAGAAAUGAUGCAUUCUGGCCUCAAAAGAUAAAUGGACAGCAACAGCAAUUUUCUAUGAUUUUGGAAACUUGACAGUUUCUGUACCCUAAUCAGAGAGGAUUAGCAUUUUCACUAGUUUGUGCUAAGAUUGUAAUACUAAAUGCUGGCACCAUCCUUCGGUGCAUGUAAACAGUCAUCUUGGGACAAAGUGCCGUGGCAUAGAUGCGCGUUUGGGCUGUGUCAAUUAGCACUUCCUCCAUGAGCAGUUUAGAAAGCAUCAUGAAAUUUGCUUUGUAAAUGUUAUCUGCAAUAUUGGGGUCUGGCCACAUGAAAGACCACUGUGAAACCUAGGGGACUGGAUUGUUUCACUGUAUUCAUCACCUGUGUAUGCUGGAACUGGUUUCUUUUCAGAGCUGGGACUAUUUUUUGUCCUUCAUGUUCAGGAACUACUGUAUGUACACAGAUCGUACUCAGCUGAAAACUGAGUAAAUCCUGAUUUGUCCAAUAUUUCCUAGAGUAUUCUAACAUACUCUUGUGGUGAUACUCAGAGGUGUACUAUGUCUGAGUAGUUCCUUUAGUAACAACAACCUUCAUUAAUUACAGGUAUUGUUUUCUCUUGUUUAUGCAGGGACUAGUGUGCUCUGGUAGCUAACAGCUUCAAUUUUUAUAUCUGCUCUUCACCCAUUUUAUCUUGUCAUUUUAUCUGUGAUGUUUUCUACUCUAUAAAUACUAUUUCAGAGUUUGUUAGUGGGCUCUCACUUCUUCUCAAUCUCAUUCCUCUCCCAGACCAUGCAGCAAAGCUCUCUGUUUAUAACCACAUAAAAGUUAUUAAAACUUUUCAGAGACCCAUUCCUACAGUAAGUGCAGCAUGUAUGGUAAUACAGCAAGGUUAUUUUGUAAGGCUUUGCCUAUGCCUUUGGGCAAACCACAAUAUUAUAUGGAACAUCUUAUUCUGAAAUAAGUAUGUAUAAUUUUCUGCUUUACAAAGUCAGUUUACUUGGUUGACAUAUAUUUGACAAAAAUGUUUGAAGGAAUGCAAGUCUAAUUCCAAGACUGGUGCAGCCUUGGAAACCUUCUAAAUGCAGUGGAUGCUAGAUUAGGCCUCUUCACUUGAGCCCUUCCUGCUGCUGAGGGUUUUCAGGUAAGGCUGAGGCUUUACCACACAUGCUGUAGGCAAUGAGAACUUGAAGAAAUUUCUGCAUUCUGUACUUUUGAACCAGGCACUGAAAAGCACAUAUUAUGCAAGAUCAGAGUUUCUGCAUCAAGUGAUUAAUAGCUUUUCAAUGAGCUAGCCUAAGAGGUGGUAGUAGGUUUCCUAUAGUUUUUCUCUGACUGCCUUUGUAUGGGAACCUGGAAUAAAAUAAGCUUGAAAGAGAUGUGAAAAUCA
Long non-coding RNA from Anser cygnoides (Swan goose), 3426 nucleotides. NCBI's taxonomy places the organism in Eukaryota, Metazoa, Chordata, Aves, Anseriformes, Anatidae. The record is from Ensembl.